UAUCCAUGAUGUGGGCAUUGAUUUAACAAAUCUUUAAACCUCUCCCAUACCUGAUAGAAAGUUUCAAGGUCUUUCGGGUUGAAGGUAGAGAUUUGUCUUUUAAGGCU
Humulus lupulus (European hop) is the source of this 107-nucleotide small nucleolar RNA. NCBI's taxonomy places the organism in Eukaryota, Viridiplantae, Streptophyta, Magnoliopsida, Rosales, Cannabaceae. The record is from RefSeq and is a predicted model, not a curated record.